Molecule: long non-coding RNA, 650 nt
Organism: Scylla paramamosain (green mud crab)
Lineage: Eukaryota; Metazoa; Arthropoda; Malacostraca; Decapoda; Portunidae
Exons: 2
Source: RefSeq, a predicted model, not a curated record
GAGAGAAAGCGAGAGAGAAAGCACGUAUAUAUACACCUGGCUAGCUUCGUGGGGAGAGAUACACCUGCACGCCGAGCCCUCUUAGGACACCACGCCGCAGCGCAUCACGCCCCGCACCGCCGUUACCUCAAGCCAAACGAAACAAACGACAGCAGAUCCCUACCAUGCGGAACCUCGUGCUGCUGACCUUCGUGUGUGCGUGCGUGGCCACCACCCUCGCCAUGCCCGCGGCCAGGCCUCCCACGGACGAGAGAGAAGGAAGGAUAGUGGUAUUAGUAUUCCCAAAUUCACUCGGCGGCCAGGACCUUCACGCACACGAAGAGGAAGGAGGUGGAGAAGCCCAUGCAACGGCAGGAGGUGAAGGAGGUGGAGAAACCCAUGCAACGGGAGGAGGUGAAGCCAAUGUAGAAGAAGUGACAGAGCCAAAUAAAUGUUUAUUCAUCUUUUGCAUUACGAAAGCUAAUAACUGAUGACAUUAUUGAUUUUUCACCGUUGCUGCUGCUGCUGCUGUUGUUGCUGUUAUUCGUGCUGUUUCUGCUGCUGCUCGUACUGGUGUUGUUAUUGCCAAAGUACCAGCGGCUCUGCUCAAUUUCAAUACCUCAUUAUUUUUUAGUUCUGUUUUGUACCUGCAUUAAAAUGUUAUGACUGUA